UUAUGUUGCUGCUAAUAUACUGCUGAAACUGCCGAGUUUGCAUUCCAGCCAGGUUCGUCUGAGAGCUAAUGAACAAGUUGUUUCAUGACCAGCAAUACAACAUUCAGCAGCUGCCCCAGUGACCUGCCUCUGCCUGUGCAAACCUCUUCCUUUUCUCUGCUAAUCGUGGUUGCCAUCUGCUGCUGGAAAGUAUCAAGUGCUGAGCGCAGUAGCAGGGAACCAGAGUCCCUUUUCAGACAGGAGCUCCAGCCUUGUUAGGAAGCAUUCAGCUAGGCACAACAACCUCAAGAAAGCUUCCUUCAAGGAAUCCUUCCUUUGCUCCGCUGAAGAAAUUCCUGCGCAUACAUAUUCAUAACUGUACGGCUGGCAGGCCUGAGUCAGGUCAAAGACCUGUCUGCCCUAACCCGCCCUGGCAGACCCUGGGUGGGUAAGGAAAACUGUAAGGCCAGGGCACAUCUCGAGUGAGCAGUUCUCUGUUUCACCCUUCCAGUUUAAACAGAUUUGUACGAAGCCGACUCUCUGAACAACUACGAUGAUAGUUUUACACCUUUGGGAGCGUACAAAAACUUGGUUACAGGGUCUUGCAGAGAAUCCAGCUGCACACAUCCUCCAGUGUGAAAUUUUUUAUGUGGCCAGAACAUGGAACUAGAUUAGAUAUUGCUUGAGCUCUAAUAGUGGCUCCAUGAUAUAUUUAUUUUUUCAGAUGUGCUACUUUACAGUUGUUCUGUGUAAUUCUUGCUUUACUUAUGUCUUAUUUCACAAAUAAUACUUCCUAGAAAAGGCCUUGCUAUACCACUGUACAAGUAAACUACUAACAUGUACCAGAUCAUGAAUACGCUUCACAAGUUUCAGAAAGUGAAGAGUUAAGGAAAGUCAGGUAGGAGGAUCAGUCUGAUUCUAUAGAUGGCAGAGAUAGUCUGGGAAGUGAGUAAUUUCAUAACUCCCAAGAGGAAUGUGGAAGAUCCGCAUAGCCUGACGCCAGUCUGAGGUUUCAGACUCAUCCCACACAGACUACAUGUAGCACUCCUUCCCACCACAACGUCCUCCAAAGGGACUGACACAGGGGCAGCACAGAAGACUUCAGAGACCAGCUGCGAUCGCUGGGAGCGAAUGCUCCACAAGGAUGCAGGUAGAGACAACAACUUGAUUUUCUGGUUGCCUCAGCAAACACCAAGAUGCCGCAGUACUUGGGAUAAGCAGCCAACAGAUUUCUCACAACUGGUCAUGUCUUUUUCCUUAUCUGGGUCUUAGCUGAGGAAGGACAAUGAAAGAGAAGGAAAAUAUUCUCUACGACUCGCCUAAACCAAUGCUUGCACUUGUAGGCAAUGUUAUGCUAAAUAAGAGAGACCGAUACAGAAACACAGUGCUGUUGCAUAUGGAUAUUCAGGGCUUACUUUGAUACCAAAUCUUGCUGAGAAAAAGUUUCCUAAACUUGGGUUUCCAUUUGCUGAAAUGAGUGCAAGGAAAUUUGAUGAUUAAAACUUGCUUUGUUGGUUUCUCAGAAGGCACUGGUUACAGCUCUACUGAGUUAGAAAAAGAAGAAAUAUUGCAAACAAAAUGUGAGAAUUCAUUCCAUACCUUCCAAUUUUUUCCAAAUAUUUUGUAUUGCAUCUCCAGACUUUUUGUAGAAUGCUUCUUUUCUUUAUUUCAAUGAGUGGAAGCUGUGCACAAGACCUGCAGGACUUUGGAACUGAGCACCCAAAAUCCGAGCCUGACAAAAAAGUUCAUCUGCUGGGUUCUGGGAAGAACAGUACUGCCUGGUAGUUGGUGCUACAUCUCAGUCUGACCAUGAAUCAAGCAGAAUCUCGGGAUAAUGCCAGGUGCACUCAGACUGCAAGCAGAUUGCCAGGCAAUAGACGCCUUACAUCUGACCAUGAACCAGACUCCAGAUUCCCGACUGCUGUGCGGGCUUCAGUCCAGAGCCCUGCCCCUGGUGUUUGUGCCAGCCACAUGGACCAUUCUGCUAGUGAGGUACUCCACAUCACUGAGCACCUGAGGAACAUCGACAGGAAAUUCCAGAACUUCCGUGAGCUCUUCGAAAAAGGAGAAGUUAUUUCAGGCCCCGUUGAAGCCAAACUGGCAGAUUUAUUGCAAGCUCUCUCUUCCUUCCGGAACACAUAUCCUGCUUUGACUGGGGAUGCCAUCCAGCCUGCUGUAGCAACCCUUAUCACCAGUAUCAAUGGUCUUGACAGUCAAGAGAGAGGACCUGAAAAUAAGAAGCGGUACAGUGAGAUUUUCCGGAGCCUAGAUGCCAUAGAAAUCUCAAUUGGAAAUGCGACAGUUGAUAUGUUCAUUGGUGAUUUGGAUGGCACUGAUGAUAAAGACCUGACCCCAGAAAGAGAGAUCGUGCCGCUGGGUGAAAGUUUCUGCAAGAGCAAAAACAGUUCGGAGAGACAAGUGCAGACAGACAUAACAGUUGAGGAGGCAGAUGAAAUGCUGAUAAAAUGUGAAAGUGGCAUUGAUGCAGCCCUUGAAUAUGCCAAAAUGUGGUGUAAAUAUGUCAAAGAGCUUCUUAGCUGGAUUGAAAAACGUCUGAAUUAUGAAACAGACUUUGCCAAAGGGAUUGUGAAGAUAGCAGAAUCAGGAAGAAAUGCAAUUAUCCAUCAGUCCAACAUGCCUCUUCGGGCACUCUACACAAUGGUCCUGGAACAUGACAUUAUGGUUGGAAACUCAGCUAAUGAGACUGCAGGAUUGCUUCAACAGAAAGAAUUCUAUCAGCCUCUGUCAGCCAAGAAGAAUGAAAUUGAGAAGUGGAGGAAAGAAUUCAAAGAUCAGUGGAUAAAGGAGCAGAAGAAAAUGAAUGAAUCCUUGUCAUCCCUGCGCAAGUCCCGUUUGCAAUAUGUACAGCGCUGUGAGGAACUGGAGAAAGCAAAGCACCUGAGCGCCAAGGCAGAGGAUGAAUAUCAGAGCACAGCGGUUACCCAUCCUGGCAGUGCCAACAAGCAGCUGGAGAAACGCCGCCGGUCUUGCGAGGAGGCACAAGCAAAGGUUCAAGAAACAGAAGCUCUGUACAAGAUGUGCAUCAGUGAUGCCAACUUCCGACGACAAGAACUGGAAAAAGUGCGAGCACGCAUCAUCUCUCAUAUUCGGAAACUCAUUUACCAAGGAGAUGAGGUGCUGACCUGGGUCACGUUAAGGAUGUUCAAGCAGAGGCAGACUCAGUCCGAACAGAUUCCAAUGGGUUACCAGCACCUGACUGAGGUCUGCAAACCAUACAAAGUGGGUGAGAAAUACCUGGAAUUCAUUCAGACUCUGCAGAAGAAAGAAGUUCAUAUGGAGGUGUUUGAAUUUCAGCCACUUGCUUGUGGGGGGCAGAGGUCCCCCCCCAGUGGCAAAAAAAAGACGACAUUGCAUUACACGGGAGCCUCGUCUGUGGCAAAGGAUGUGAGCCCUCCAGAAGAUGCAUCAAGAAAGCACUUCUCUUCACAUGGUGAACAGGGUACGAGCAAGUCCCUCUGCAGUGACACAGAAAGCCUGGGUGGGAGUUGUGAAUCUCGAUCUCUGGACUCUCCCAAUUCCAGCCCAGGAAACUCUAGCAGGAAGUUGCUAAAAGCUCCAUCCACUGGCACCAUGUCCUCCUCAGAUGAUUUUGAAGAGAGAGAUUCAUUGCAAACUUUUGAAAAUGAAAAUGGAACGUCUCAGCAGCAGUUUAAGAACAUCCUUCUCUCCAGCGCGGCACAGACCCACCGGCUCAGGAAGCUCCGGGGGCCAUCCAAAUGCAGGGAAUGUGACACCUUCAUGGUCAAUGGCUUUGAGUGUGAGGAGUGCUACCUGACCUGCCACAAGAAGUGUCUAGAGAACCUGUUGAUCACCUGUGGCCGCAAGAAGUUGCCUAACCGGGUACCUCUUUUUGGCAUUGACUUCAUGCAAGUACCUCGAGAUUUCCCAGAGGAAGUUCCCUUCAUAGUGGUGAAAUGCACCUCAGAAAUUGAAACUCGUGCCCUCGGAGUGCAGGGCAUCUAUCGGAUAAGCGGAUCCAAGGCCCGGGUGGAAAAACUGUGCCAGGCCUUUGAAAAUGGAAGAAGCCUGGUGGAACUCUCCGAGCACUCCCCCCAUGAUAUCACUGGGGUCCUGAAGCAUUUCCUGAAGGAACUUUCAGGACCUGUGCUGCUGUACCAGCUCUAUGAUGAUCUUAUUGCACUUGCCAAAGAUUUGCAAAAACCCAGUGAAGAAAAGAGAGACUGUACAGGCUUCCCUUCAGAUCCUAUCCAGUGCAUGAAGGACCUGCUGAGCAAAUUGCCUGGAACCAACUACAAUACUCUGCGGCAUCUCAUUGCACACUUGUACAGGGUGGCAGAGAAAUACGAAGAGAACAAGAUGUCCCCAAACAACCUGGGCAUAAUAUUUGGGCCAACUCUGAUCCGGCCAUGCUCAGGGAGCGAUGUCUCAAUGUCAUGCCUUGUUGACUCUGGGUAUCAAGCCCAGAUUGUGGAAUUUCUCAUUCAGAACUACGAAAGGGUGUUUGGGAUGGAUGACCUGCCUUCAUCCUUGUCCCUUGGAUGUGAAAAUCCUUCACAAGAAGCAUCGACAGAGAAGGAUGAAGGACAUCAGAACCCAGACAAAGUCCAGAAUAUAACUCUAGAGGUAGAGCUCCCAGACGCUGAGCUGGGCUUACUGACCCUGCUGUAGAGACAGGAAGGUGGACUAGCAAUUAAAGAGAUUUUUUUCACAGAAAAGGAAACCAUUUGCUAUCAGAGGGCUAUUCAAAGAGGAAGGAGCAGAGAGCUUGUUGCAUAUGCAGUGAGAGAAACUGAAGAAAUUAUGAGCUACAGAUCACUUAGUGGCUUCUCAGACCACUUUGGAUGGUGUUUUUACUGCAUGUUUUAGAAUCCAGCCAUUCUGAAAAGUUGUGGGUUUCUCCACACUGAAUUACUUGGAACACUGCUGUUUCACUCCAUAAACAGCACUAUAGCUUUUGGGGCAGAGGUAUGCGCAUAAAAUCCAGCCGAUUUCUUUGUGCGGCCCUACAGAGCUCUGCUGCAUUCCCAAUUAGAAGCCAUGGACCCUUUAUCUCCCUGCUACUGAGGGCUCCGUAUCCUUUCCAAGCUCCCCAGCUCUUGCCUCACAACAGCUCACGGCUUAUUUCACAGCACUUUGAAAACACAAAUUGGCAUAACAUCCCUGAGCUGGGAUGCGGUGGUUCUGUCUUUUCACAGCUGGCUUGACUAAGCCAGAAAGAGGAAAUGACUUUCCUAAAGUUAAAAAAAGGGAGUCAGAUCCUGUUCUUAGGACUCUCCACCCCCUACUUUUAAGUCAUGGAUGCUUAUGUGCGAGACACUCCAUGUCUGCAAUGAUCACAUCUAUGUCUGACAUGCAGUUAUCCUACUUUCUGUACAGGUCCAGCUCACUGAGGAAGCAGAAAUUAGAGUAACUAUGAUUACAGCUGAAAUAAAAUCACCAGAGUAGACACAAUUCACUUCUGGUAUACAGAAAUCCUACAGGAUUAACAAAACCUUCCCAGAGAACUCUUUGAGAGAUACACAACUAUUACCUUUGACUAGGUUUAUAUUUUCAAAGCCAUUUUACAUAUUUUCUCAGCAUAACUGAACUCUACAAAAGGUGUUGUAAACCUUUGAAAAGAAGAGUUGCUUCUAAUGUAACUCUCAUUUUGUAAUUAAUAAAACCAGCUUCUGGAGCCCCUGUUCAGGUGACAUAAUCCUUGUGUGAACUUGCACUGGUUCCAUAUGAGCUAUGACUCCCAAGAAUUUCUAUGUUAUUGACUCAUCCUCCCAUUUGUAUGUGAUCAUAAUUACUUUGCUAUAGCUAACGUUGAUGCCUGAUGUUUCCCUUUCUCGUUUUAAAAUAGGCUAUUUCAGUGUCAUGUAGGACACAAGGAUCUCAGUCUCAGCACACUGCUUCUCCACAGAAAGCAACGUCUGCUUUCUGGGAAUUUCUCCUCCAAGCAUGAUUUAAAUGUGGACUAUGUGUCU
This is a non-coding RNA of Struthio camelus australis, 5930 nucleotides long. The record is from RefSeq and is a predicted model, not a curated record. NCBI's taxonomy places the organism in Eukaryota, Metazoa, Chordata, Aves, Struthioniformes, Struthionidae.